Molecule: long non-coding RNA, 360 nt
Filed under: Brassica napus (rape)
Lineage: Eukaryota; Viridiplantae; Streptophyta; Magnoliopsida; Brassicales; Brassicaceae
Description: long non-coding RNA (BNAP_LNC016087)
Source: RNAcentral
CAUUUGCCUAAAGAAAACUCUUAUUGUGUUCUUGUUUACACAAUCUCUUAGUUCUGAAGAGGGACCGCAUCAACCUGUGUCUCUUCUCUUCUAAAAGAUAGAAGAUGUGUUAAGUAGGGAGAGAGCAUUUCUAUCUCUACAAAGUAGAGAAAAGCCUCGCUUGUUCUUGGCGUAAAUUAGUGUACACCCAUGUAUUUAUUUUUGGGUUUGUUUCAUUGUUAACCGAGAUGUAGAUUUUGACCCGUCUCUCAAUGGUGGAUAUAAUUUUUGUUUUACUUUUUUUUUGAAAAAAUUGAUUUUUAUAUUUAUGUUAUUUUUGUAACUUUAAAUAAAAUCACAUUUAAUAAAUACUUUUAAUCA